GCGCUCUUAGUUCAGUUCGGUAGAGCGUGGGUCUCCAAAACCCAAUGUCGUAGGUUCAAAUCCUACAGAGCGCG
RNAcentral lists this transfer RNA (74 nucleotides) under Panax ginseng (ginseng). RNAcentral describes it as "tRNA-Trp". It matches the Rfam family "tRNA". From Rfam's summary of the family: Transfer RNA (tRNA) molecules are approximately 80 nucleotides in length. Their secondary structure includes four short double-helical elements and three loops (D, anti-codon, and T loops). The record is from RNAcentral. Lineage: Eukaryota; Viridiplantae; Streptophyta; Magnoliopsida; Apiales; Araliaceae.